RNAcentral lists this ribosomal RNA (603 nucleotides) under uncultured bacterium. RNAcentral describes it as "bacterial SSU rRNA". It matches the Rfam family "Bacterial small subunit ribosomal RNA", at positions 8 to 507 of the family's 1533-position model. The record is from RNAcentral.
AGAGUUUGAUCAUGGCUCAGGACGAACGCUGGCGGCGUGCCUAACACAUGCAAGUCGAACGGAGUUGAAUUCGACACCAAAUGCUCAAACGCUUCGGAAAGCAAGCGUAAUCAUCGCGGAGCGAAGAUGAAGCGAAAAAAAGCUUGACUGACACAAGGAAAAGAAGAGGCGGCGAGAAGAGCAAUUGGUGUUGAAUUCAACUGAGUGGCGGACGGGUGAGUAACGCGUGAGCAACCUGCCUUAAAGAGGGGGAUAACGUUUGGAAACGAACGCUAAUACCGCAUAUGAUCUUGGCAUCGCAUGGUGCAGAGAUGAAAGGAGCAAUCCGCUUUAAGAUGGGCUCGCGUCCGAUUAGAUAGUUGGUGGGGUAACGGCCUACCAAGUCGACGAUCGGUAGCCGGACUGAGAGGUUGAACGGCCACAUUGGGACUGAGACACGGCCCAGACUCCUACGGGAGGCAGCAGUGGGGGAUAUUGCACAAUGGGGGAAACCCUGAUGCAGCGACGCCGCGUGAGCGAAGAAGGUUUUCGGAUCGUAAAGCUCUGUCCUUUGGGAAGAAAAAAAUGACGGUACCAAAGGAGGAAGCCCCGGCUAACUACGUG